This 324-nucleotide long non-coding RNA is filed under the name Elaeis guineensis (African oil palm). RNAcentral describes it as "long non-coding RNA (EGUI_LNC019909)". The record is from RNAcentral. Lineage: Eukaryota; Viridiplantae; Streptophyta; Magnoliopsida; Arecales; Arecaceae.
GGGUGCAUCUAAAAAUUUUCUAUAACAACUUAAUAAAAAUUAGAUUUUUAUCUGAUAUAAAGUAAAAUAGAGACCAAAUCUCUAAAGAUUCUGAAUCUAAAGCCUUGCGUAGGUCUGAAUCAACAAACCCUUUACUUCGCAUGCAUGCCAAACUUUGCAGGAAAAUGAGAUGAAGCCUCGGAUUGAAGCACCUUCACAAGGCAACAAGAAAGAGGAGAGAGGACUCUUGAUGUGAUACCUCACACCAAGAUCUGGGAUGCCUAAACCUUCAUCAUGCCAAGAGGUGGGAUGCCCACUCUUAGCACACGUCAAGAGAGAAGGGAC